This 548-nucleotide ribosomal RNA is filed under the name uncultured archaeon. RNAcentral describes it as "bacterial SSU rRNA". It matches the Rfam family "Archaeal small subunit ribosomal RNA", at positions 331 to 879 of the family's 1478-position model. The record is from RNAcentral.
CGCAGCAGGCGCGAAAACUUUACAAUGCCGGCAACGGCGGUAAGGGAACCUCGAGUGCCAGGUUACAAAUCUGGCUGUCGUGAUGCCUAAAAAGCAUUGCAUAGCAAGGGCCGGGCAAGACCGGUGCCAGCCGCCGCGGUAACACCGGCGGCUCGAGUGGUAACCGUUAUUAUUGGGUCUAAAGGGUCUGUAGCCGGCCGGGUAAGUCUCUUGGGAAAUCUGGCAGCUUAACUGUCAGGCUUUCAGGAGAUACUGCCUGGCUCGAGGCCGGGAGAGGUGAGAGGUACUUCAGGGGUAGGGGUGAAAUCUUGUAAUCCUUGAAGGACCACCAGUGGCGAAGGCGUCUCACCAGAACGGACCUGACGGCAAGGGACGAAAGCUAGGGGCACGAACCGGAUUAGAUACCCGGGUAGUCCUAGCCGUAAACGAUACUCGCUAGGUGUCGGCCACGGUGUGACCGUGGUCGGUGCCGUAGGGAAGCCGUGAAGCGAGCCACCUGGGAAGUACGGCCGCAAGGCUGAAACUUAAAGGAAUUGGCGGGGGAGCAC